AGACAGGGAAAGGCUCUGUUGGGCUGCUCGGGCCCUGGAAGGGGCUGCCCAGGGACAUGGUGGAGGCACCAUCCCUACAGGUGUUUAAGGGGUGUCUGGAUCUGGUGCUGGGUGAUCUUUCGUGGUUACAGUGCUACUGCUGCAUUGAGGGUUGGACUGGACGAUCUCAAAGGUCUCUUCCAACAUUGAAGAUUCUAUGAUUCUAAAGUCCAUAAAGCCAUGGGAACAACUGGCUGGCUCUGGGAUAAUAAGCAUGAUUAGUAACAAGCCCUUCUCCAGUGCAAGGAGAGAGCAUGGGCACAGGGCAUCCCCACCCUGAAGGACAGGUGGCUUCAAUGGAGGGGACACAUGGUGGGGGAGGAAGGCUGAGAGCCACAAAGGACAAACGAAUCCAAGGUAGUGAGGAAUAGCUGUGGCUCCUUGGGGAGAACUUGGGGCUCAUGCAGAAGGCAGAUGAGGAAGGCAAGGAUGUGUGAGAGCUGGAGGGGUAAAGAGGGGCUGAAGCUCAGGGGAAGAGACUUGGGGGGGGAGCAGUGGGACACAGCAGGAGAGUGAGGGCAGUCACUGGAUCUGAAGACUUUUAAGAAACCCUUUCUAUGAUAAUCAAGUCUCAAACCUCAGAGCCCUGUUGUGACCACACGUAUGCUCUGCUUAUGGCAGGAGAGCACCUCAGCAAAGGAGCACAGGAAUUGGGUUGUCUUGAGGCUCAUUUCCUUGUUACUAUUAGGUGAGCACAAAGUCUCGAGUUCUGAGCUAACAGCUUCCCUUUCUUUUGCUCCGACCUCCCUCUUAGGUAAUUCAACACAGGCUAAAGUAGUACUGCAGAACUGAGGCUGUGGAGCUUAAAUGUAUCUUUGUUUCUGAAGUUUUGGGGCUCAUCCAUAACAAAAACAAACCCAGAGGUUAGAAAGAGGGUUUGCAGACUGAUCUGCAAAUGCAAAAAUACAAACCCUAUGAGUAUGUUCCUCUGUGUAUAAAAAUGAGCACAGGCAGAUGGGGAAAUAGAAGUCAACAAAUCCAAUUUCACUCGUAGUGGAAUCCAAUCUCUUGUGGCUUAAAGAAGUCAGAGAAUCUUCCCAUUUCAUUAAAUCAGACUUCUAAAUUUUAUUUCAGAAACAAAGGUAAUUUCCCCUACUCCUGUGACAAAUGUAUUCAUGGCAAUAAAGCCUACCACAACACAAGGCUGGCCACCCAGUGACUUAGAUAAAAACAAUGCCUGAUGACUUAGGGGCAAGUAUUUUUUCUAGAAAUAGGUUAUCUGUUAAAUAGCAACAGCAUCAUGAAAAACUAAUGCCAGUACAUUGUCUAGCUGUUCCAGGAGAGCUGAUACUUGAGCUCAUGCUGACAAUCCCCCAGCACAGGGAGCCAAAGGAAAUACUGUCUAGCAGGCAGAAAUGUCUGAGCUUACUUUACUGAUCCUCCCCACACUCCUGACUCAGCUGGUUCUGGAUGACAUUCCUGCGCACUCGGUAGUUCUUCGAAAAGAUUUCAAGCAAAACUUGGCGAUGCUUUAAAAGCAAAUGUAUCGGUUCUACAGGGGUCUCUCCAGACCCUGUGGCCACACCUGCACCUUUCCUGUGACCUGGAGCACCCCCAAAGGUACAAAAACACACUGAAGAAGGUGUUGCAAUGUAUUCCUCUUAAAUGCUUCCAUGGGAGUUCACUUCAGGCAAGAGGUUGGCUGGUGCUUGCCUCUUUCCUAUAAAAAUGUAUUCACUUUAUGGAGCUAGGAACUGCACUGCCCAUCCACAGGUCUUUAGGCAUCUUCCCUUUCACCUCGUUUACUACGACAGCAGUUAGAACUCAGCAGAUGCUCACAUAUGAGGUAAACAUUUCCUAAUCUUAAGUAUAAACAGAUACACCUGCUAAUCUCUGGUUAAUGUUGCAUUACCAUCAAAAGGAAAAAAAACCUUGGACUGGAUCGUGGUCUGAGGCCUGCACUGGAGAAUCCUUUCUUCUCACAGGUCCAGAAAUAGCCACUGAGCUGCUUACUGACAUGAUUACCAUUAUGUUAUGAGCUUGCUUUCAGCUGGAAACAGGUUGGUGUUGAAAACACCAAUAGAGAAAAACUAUCUGUUGUAUUACUUCCAGAAACAUGGAUGCAAACAAUGCCAAAUGCUCAAUAAAAACAUAGCGGGGAAUGUCAAUUAUUUUAU
Molecule: non-coding RNA, 2156 nt
Organism: Cyanistes caeruleus (blue tit)
Lineage: Eukaryota; Metazoa; Chordata; Aves; Passeriformes; Paridae
Source: RefSeq, a predicted model, not a curated record